ACAGCAUUUGCUGGAGAAUUUGGAACAAGAAGACCUCGUUGGACUUUAUCCAAGGGGAUUUAGUCACUGCAGAUCUAAAACUCCUCAUAAGGCUGUGGCACAGUUCCAGAACCUGGCUCCAAGGAAGAGAGGGCCAAUCCAGGCUUCAGGCUCCAGUGUGUAUGGAGGAGCUGCCACUGCAGAGACGCUGGCUUAGGGGGCUGGGGGAUGCCUCCUUUGAAUUCUGGGCCCACCACUGACAACACUUCUCUUCUUGGAGAAAAGAUGACGAGAAGGAGAGGUCUUAGAACACAUCCUUAUCUGAAGGACAGGAUACAGUCUUGUUUUAGGAAACUCCAGCUGCUCUGUGUCAUUGAAAGGGAAGAGGAGAGACCAGAUGGUCCAAGUUCGCCAUGGCACUGGUAAGGACCUGAGACUGACUGCAGGCCCUUCAUGAAAGCAAAGCCUGGGUGUGUUAUAACCGCCAGUCCCACUCUCCCACAGUGAGGUCCAUCCCGGCAGGGGCUGAGUCCACCUUGACCACUGAGACAAACAGACCUGGUGAUGGACUCAGUGUUUUUAAAUUGUGGAGCUUGGACAGGGAGGGGCGAGAUGGAGAACGAGGUAUACACAAAAGAGAACAAUGUGAUGAGGGCAUGAAGUGUGCUUACCAACCUUCCCUCACUCAGAGGCUGGAAGAGAUUUUAGAGCUUAACAGAAAAAGAGUGGGAAGAGGACACUGCUGGGCAAAAGACAUGAACUAAAGACUUCUCGGCUGUCCCCAUCAGUGGCACGGUGGUCUCAGCAGUACCGAUGUGGAUACUCAAGAACGUGAGGCUACCGUGGAAAUGCUUUGCUUAAACCACACGUUGAGUUUCCAAGGAGUGAAGAUCCCCAGGGAAAGCAUCUAGGACCCUGCCAUGUUGGCCCAGCUCUGGGAAGUCAAUCGACGUGGACCCCUUACUGUGUUAACUGCUAAUCAGCCUUCUGUAAAAAUGAUAUUGCAAAUUCACCUGUAGCCGUCUAUUUUGUUCUCUUGCUGGUGAGGAAUAGGAACUGAUGUAAAUUGGUGAAGGUUUGCUGGAGCCUGUAAGAAAAUAUUUUAUGAAAUUAAAACUAGUGCUUAUUACUCUGGUCCAUUAGGCUGGGUGGUCUCCCCUGCACUAGGGCUAGCACUGUCCCCGACAGGGCCUGUCUUCCCCAGUGCCAAUGCGGGCUGGGAGAGGUAGCAGCUCAGGGUCCCUGGAUCUGGCCUGGCUGCUGCUUACCUCAGGGCUGGUGGGGGCUAAUGGCAAAACUAUGGCAGAAACAGGCUGUGUGUGUUUCCCCAAAAAGCAAUGCCAGUGCAGAGCCCAUGCGCAAAGGUUCCUGCUCAAGCUCUGCUCACAUGUGGGAGGGUUUCUCCAGCUGGCUUUGGACAGCAGCACGGGAUCCUGAGCUGAGGAACACUCCUUUUCCAGGGCUCUGAGCUACGGCAGUGGGUCAGAGAGGAGAAGCGAAACACAAUAUUCGAACAAGCCCCAUGCCUUCCAAACAAACAACUGGGAUUCAAAAUCUCAGGUCAAGGAAGGAGCAACAAUGGAGGCACAGUCUUGUACCUGGCAUAUUUAAGUAUGUUUUAAUACAAAAGGAACUUGGUAAUAAUGAGAUAAUUGUCUUCAAAAGUCCAUAGUAGACUCCUGAUGAUGUUACCCUUCCAUUAUUAUUAAGGCUAGCAAAGAUUUUUAUUUUUUUAAUGAGGAAAAUGAAACGUAGUUGAGGCAAAUUAGUUUAUUGAAGCAAGCGAAGAAGAUACAGAAGGGCAUGCAUGCUAAAGAGGUGAUCUGUAAGAUAAAGCAGGCUGCUGCAAAUCGGAAGCAACCAUGCACUUCAGUUGGUAUGUGCAUUUCCUUUUGCCCAGAGCUUGGUGUUGAAAUGUAGCAUCUGCAAUUUUCUGAGCUAUUAAUUGCCAUAGUAACAACAGUCGAUUAGUAAAUAGUCCUGUGAAAUCACAAUUUCAAAGACAACAGUACAAUGGAGACUGCCCCCCCAGCAGGAGUAAAGCUGCCACCAGCUUUUAUUUAUUUUUAAUAGACAGGUUUGAGAAAAGAGUACUUUUUGUGGGGUAGCUCACACUGACUUAUUUGGAACAUCUAAAGUAGUUAUAAUCGCCAGACGGUUGAGAAUGGGAACAGUAUGAAAUCUUAGUAACCCUUUGGGCUGGUAUCCUUUAAAUAAAUUGUAUGCACAGCUUUCUGAAUAGGAUAUAAAAAUAUUAACACUAUGUAACAUUAUUUUUGUUAUUCUUAAAAAAUAAUCACGUUGAGAAGAAUCACAUUAUACCUUUUGCUAUUUAUUCAAACUCUUCUCCAUGAAAAU
RNAcentral lists this long non-coding RNA (2337 nucleotides) under Homo sapiens (human). RNAcentral's name for it is "HSALNT0042010". Lineage: Eukaryota; Metazoa; Chordata; Mammalia; Primates; Hominidae. The record is from RNAcentral.